Molecule: ribosomal RNA, 748 nt
Filed under: uncultured Providencia sp.
Lineage: Bacteria; Pseudomonadati; Pseudomonadota; Gammaproteobacteria; Enterobacterales; Morganellaceae
Description: bacterial SSU rRNA
Rfam family: Bacterial small subunit ribosomal RNA
Source: RNAcentral
GCGAAAGCGUGGGGAGCAAACAGGAUUAGAUACCUGGUAGUCCACGCUGUAAACGAUGUCGAUUUGGAGGGUGUUCCCUUGAGGAGUGGCUUCCGGAGCUAACGCGUUAAAUCGACCGCUGGGGAGUACGGCCGCAAGGUUAAAACUCAAAUGAAUUGACGGGGGCCCGCACAAGCGGUGGAGCAUGUGGUUUAAUUCGAUGCAACGCGAAGAACCUUACCUACUCUUGACAUCCAGAGAAUUUAGCAGAGAUGCUUUAGUGCCUUCGGGAACUCUGAGACAGGUGCUGCAUGGCUGUCGUCAGCUCGUGUUGUGAAAUGUUGGGUUAAGUCCCGCAACGAGCGCAACCCUUAUCCUUUGUUGCCAGCACAUUAUGGUGGGAACUCAAAGGAGACUGCCGGUGAUAAACCGGAGGAAGGUGGGGAUGACGUCAAGUCAUCAUGGCCCUUACGAGUAGGGCUACACACGUGCUACAAUGGCGUAUACAAAGAGAAGCGACCUCGCGAGAGCAAGCGGAACUCAUAAAGUACGUCGUAGUCCGGAUUGGAGUCUGCAACUCGACUCCAUGAAGUCGGAAUCGCUAGUAAUCGUAGAUCAGAAUGCUACGGUGAAUACGUUCCCGGGCCUUGUACACACCGCCCGUCACACCAUGGGAGUGGGUUGCAAAAGAAGUAGGUAGCUUAACCUUCGGGAGGGCGCUUACCACUUUGUGAUUCAUGACUGGGGUGAAGUCGUAACAAGGUAACCA